Molecule: long non-coding RNA, 108 nt
Filed under: Rhipicephalus microplus (southern cattle tick)
Lineage: Eukaryota; Metazoa; Arthropoda; Arachnida; Ixodida; Ixodidae
Description: uncharacterized LOC119188045
Source: RNAcentral
CUUUCAACUUGCCCACCACAGCAGUGAAAAGACUCCUGUUGUCAUAUGUAUUUUCUGCCUGUUGGUCCACGGGCACAAGUGCCAGUGUUGUUUAUUAAUAGAAGCUGC